RNAcentral lists this ribosomal RNA (443 nucleotides) under uncultured bacterium. RNAcentral's name for it is "partial 16S ribosomal RNA". It matches the Rfam family "Bacterial small subunit ribosomal RNA", at positions 338 to 795 of the family's 1533-position model. The record is from RNAcentral.
CCUACGGGAGGCAGCAGUGGGGAAUAUUGGGCAAUGGGCGCAAGCCUGACCCAGCAACGCCGCGUGAAGGAAGAAGGCUUUCGGGUUGUAAACUUCUUUUGUCAGGGACGAAGCAAGUGACGGUACCUGACGAAUAAGCCACGGCUAACUACGUGCCAGCAGCCGCGGUAAUACGUAGGUGGCAAGCGUUAUCCGGAUUUACUGGGUGUAAAGGGCGUGUAGGCGGGGAAGCAAGUCAGAUGUGAAAACCACGGGCUCAACCUGUGGCCUGCAUUGGAAACUGGUUUUCUUGAGUGCUGGGGAGGCAAUCGGAAUUCCGUGUGUAGCGGUGAAAUGCGUAGAUAUCCGGAGGAACACCAGUGGCGAAGGCGGAUUGCUGGACAGUAACUGACGCUGAGGCGCGAAAGCGUGGGGAGCAAACAGGAUUAGAUACCCUUGUAGUC